AUGCUUCUUAACUUGGUGUCAUUUAGGAGAUGGGACGGCAACGUAUCUUUAGGAAAACUGGUGUCUAUAGCGUGCCAGGCGGCAACUUGUGAGAUCCCGACUGCACCUGAUCCAAUAACGGCUAGCAAGACGUCAAAAGUCGCAAGUCGAGCUGCACCGCGGUCAGUUGUGACGCGGGGCAGCUGCUGAGGUCCAACUCGUUGCGCACCAUUUGUCACGAUACCUUCAGCAGCUCAACGUGCUCGUGUCGAGGGUGAAUAGGUCGAUAACGAGAGCCAUCGAAAGAGCUGCGAGACGCACGCGUCAGCACAGAAGCGCACAGAACCCAGAUCUUUGAUAGAACUUUGACGCGCUGGGCACGCGGGAUGCGCUAGGUUCACGCUGCGUCUGCAACCGCAUCUCCAUAUGGGGCUUGUUCGUUCAUGAAUCAGGCACGUGAGACAAGCGGGCAGGCGCUUUCGUUUUUCGGAUUCAGAGUGGACUCGCUUUGCGCUGCAUAUGUAUCUGCAUUUGCAUGUCCCAUGCCAAUAACGUUAUAGUUGCUGCUGACAACUGUGGCUUGGACUCGACCCCGGAUAAAGAACGGCUUGCGAACUUGGAUGAGUGCCUUGCGCUCGCUGAGGUUUGCACCGGGAGCCGUACAGCGUUCUUGCUGCACCUGCGGCUGCGGACUUGGGAUCAGUUAUAGCGCCCGGAUCGUCGUUGCCGCUUCGUCGUUCCCGUUGCCAACAAGGAGAGACGGAGGUAUUCAUCCCAAAGUGAUGCCGAUGUUGCCGUGCAUGUUCAUCCGAGGAUGCUAAUGAAGGAAAUCGCCUUUCUUCAGUUGCACUGUUUGGUCGCACGGCGUUGGUCCUCUGAUCACGCUGGACGUCGGUGGCUGUGGCGUCAGCGACGCUCUGCUUCCCUCGAGGUGGUUGACACAAGGAGGCGACAGCGGCGUCGAGACAAUGCGGUGUCGCGUUUGGGCCUUGAGAUGUAGCGAAUGGCUGUUCCCGGAUGUCGCUGGGCGAUAGCGGUGCUCGCUUUUGCUGGCUCCGCAAGGCAUCCAGCUGCACUGCCAUCCGCGAGAGAUGUUCGCGGAGGACCUCGUUUUCCUGAUGGGCGGCAUCUAACUCCGCAAGAAUGCGGGUAGCACCUGCUGGACUGCCCAAGGCCUCUGAAAGAUCCGAAAUCUGUGAUUCCGAUGCAGGCUCGGUUGGGGUAUCCCUUGGUUUUGCUGGACGCCUCCUGCGGAUGCCCCGCAGACGGCUGCCAGCGGCGAAGCGGUGAUGUGGCGGCAUGCGCGGCCUCCGACGCUGCUCCACUGGGGCAGAACCCGGAAGGCCCCCGCUGAUGGACUCCACUGCACGAUGCAAGAGACCCCAAAUGGGGCUCGAGGCAUCUCUACCGAUGAACGCUUGUGAUGAUAUACUGAACGGCGAUCUCGAUAACUGUUCUGAGCGGUCGUGUGGUACGAAUCCAACACGACGCAGUCGUGACGCUAUAAUGCCAUCAUCUUUCGCGCGUCGGCGCCACACGGGCGCAGCAGCCGGACUUGUGAGUGGUAUAAAAGAGGGUCCCAGCUGCUUAACAGGCGAGUGCGAUGGGGAAGCGCUUCUCCUGGGCGUUUCAUCAAUCUGCAUUCCGAUUGUUGAUGUACCAGGGAUGCUACCGUCCGCUGGGAUUGGUUCGUGCUCCAGAUUCGGGUGCAUCUGGGGGUUUCUGCUGAGCUUCUCGUGGGAGGCGUCAGUGCAUCGCGUGUGCGGAUGCAAUAGAGGUCGUGUAGGCGCGGUAGACGUUUCGUCUGUGAACGCGCUGGGGUCCUCAAGCAGCCCACCGGCAAGCAAAUUCACUGUGGCAUCAUCGUUCGAGCGGUAUUUCGACCGUUGGCCGGAUGGACUCGGGCGUGAACUGAGCACCCCAUGCUGGGUGAGGUCCUGUUCGAAGGCCCGUCUUUGAGACGUCGUUUGUCGAUUGGGUUGCGGUGACGCUGCAGCGUUACAGGGUGAAGUUCGGUGCUUUGCUCGCUCCGUCUGCGACAAGCCUUGGCUGCCACCAGUUAGGAUUCGAGGCGCCUGACAAGGCACUGUGGUGGCCGCGAAACCUUCUCGGGAGGCGCUUUCAGCUUGGUCACAUCCGCGUUCAUCGCCACAGCGCUUUGGCACCCCGCCCAAGUGUUGCGACGCCAAGACUGUGGCCCGCCGAUCUCGGUACGUUGGUGCUUGCAGCGGUGUCAUGGCCGAAAGAGCCGGCGACGCCUGGCUCCGCACACUGCCAUUGUUCUGAGAUAUUCCUACGUCUGCUGUGGGCAGACGCUCUGCAUCCCGUCGCGGUGUUCUGUCUGAAACGAACACAUCGUCUUCUUUGGGAAUUCGCUCUGCUUGUUCAACCGCCCGUUGCCAAGAUGCUGCCCUUGGAGCGCUAAGGCGCUCAGCAAGCCCUGCACCAGCACUGCGUUGCGUAGCUUGGUUUCCAAGAUGCUGUAUAGAUGGGGCUUGCUUCUUUGGGCUCAAGGCGGUGCUUCCUUUGGGAACCCCGCCAUCCUUCAACUUUUUGAAGCUCCAGAAAUAGUUGAAAUCACUUAGUCCGGAACGAUGGGGGGCUCGUGCAUUUCGAGAGGGCGUACCCGGAGAGAUGUUCGUGCAGGGCGACUGCACCUGAAUCGCAGCAGGUGCCGCUGUUCCUGGGGAGCUCGUGUGCCGCAGCAUCUGCACAGACUCCUCAUCGGUCGUAGAAUAUGUUCUGAUUCGUCUCUCGGUGACUAGCUUUUGCAGGACACGGUGUCGGGGGGACUGUCUUCCACUGAAAGCGUCUUCAGAGGAAGCAGCUUCGGGUAAAGGCGCGAUAGGUAUGGCGUCGUCACGGAGUUCGCCCUGUAGCACGGCACGAGGAACAAAUUUUCUUUUCUUACGGGUCAUUUGAUCACCUCGAGGUGUUGCAGAACCGAUAACGCCACUAUGGGUUUUGGAUAGGGAUGGCGUCAGCGGCUUGGCGUCAAAGCUCUCUGUGUGACGUCCAUAGCGCUCCGCGUCGCUUUCCUGGGUGGGCAGCAGCCCCGUCUGCAUUGCUGGUUCGCGAGCCUUUGCAUACAGUUCGUGCUCGGCGUCAACUGCACUAUCAGUUGAACCGUUAAACUGGGUGUCAACACGCCCU
This is an RNA transcript of Cyanidioschyzon merolae strain 10D, 3132 nucleotides long. RefSeq lists it as hypothetical. The record is from RefSeq and is a predicted model, not a curated record. NCBI's taxonomy places the organism in Eukaryota, Rhodophyta, Bangiophyceae, Cyanidiales, Cyanidiaceae. The transcript has a single exon.